GCUUGGCCCUAAACCUCAGUAGUUAGAUAACAAAACUACUCGCCAGAAUACUACAAGCUAUAGCUUAAAACUCAAAGGACUUGACGGUGCUUUACACCCCCUAGAGGAGCCUGUUCCGUAAUCGAUAAACCCCGAUCCACCCCACCCUCUCUUGCUCAGCCUAUAUACCGCCAUCUUCAGCAAACCCUAAUGAGGGUCACAAAGUGAGCGCAAAUGCCAUUGCCGCAAACACGUUAGGUCAAGGUGUAGCCUAUGAGACGGUAAAAAAUGGGCUACAUUUUCUACCUCAGAAAAUUCCACGAAAACCCUUAUGAAAUUUAAGGGUCCAAGGAGGAUUUAGCAGUAAAUUAAGAAUAGAGUGCUUAAUUGAGCCAGGCCAUAAAGCGCGC
This 389-nucleotide ribosomal RNA is filed under the name Macaca mulatta (Rhesus monkey). RNAcentral describes it as "12S ribosomal RNA". It matches the Rfam family "Bacterial small subunit ribosomal RNA", at positions 794 to 1384 of the family's 1533-position model. Lineage: Eukaryota; Metazoa; Chordata; Mammalia; Primates; Cercopithecidae. The record is from RNAcentral.